GACGAACGCUGGCGGCGGGCUUAACACAUGCAAGUCGAACGGAAAGGCCCUGCUUUUGUGGGGUGCUCGAGUGGCGAACGGGUGAGUAACACGUGAGUAACCUGCCCUUGACUUUGGGAUAACUUCAGGAAACUGGGGCUAAUACCGGAUAGGAGCUCCUGCUGCAUGGUGGGGGUUGGAAAGUUUCGGCGGUUGGGGAUGGACUCGCGGCUUAUCAGCUUGUUGGUGGGGUAGUGGCUUACCAAGGGUUUGACGGGUAGCCGGCCUGAGAGGGUGACCGGCCACAUUGGGACUGCGAUACGGCCCAGACUCCUACGGGAGGCAGCAGUGGGGAAUAUUGCACAAUGGGCGGAAGCCUGAUGCAGCAACGCCGCGUGCGGGAUGACGGCCUUCGGGUUGUAAACCGCUUUCGCCUGUGACGAAGCGUGAGUGACGGUAAUGGGUAAAGAAGCACCGGCUAACUACGUG
Molecule: ribosomal RNA, 468 nt
Filed under: uncultured bacterium
Lineage: Bacteria
Description: partial 16S ribosomal RNA
Rfam family: Bacterial small subunit ribosomal RNA
Source: RNAcentral